GAGAAAAGACUGAGUUCUCCCGAAUAGAGGGAAUUCUGCCCUCAGACUGCCUACAGACUCGAGCUGCAACAUCAACUCUUCCCUGGUCUCCAGCCUGCUGGCCUGCCCUGCAGAUUUCGGACUUGCCAGCCUCCAUGACCACAUGAAGAAACUAAGGCUCAGAGAGAUUGUGACUUGCUAGGAAUUGACGAGAUUUAAAACAGGUUAUUUGCCUCCAGGACCUGUGCCCUUCAUCAUUAUAUGGUUUCAGGAGAGCCAAUGUCCCGGCGUCCAGAAGAAGAGAAGAAAAUAGGGAUUGAGACUUGGGAAGACGCUACUCCCAAAAUAACGUGAGAAGUUUUCCCUGAGCUGAGGAAAGAUCCAAGACCUGAGAUCAAAAGCGGUUCAACAUUUGCCAGACAGGAUUACCCAAAAAGGACACACGCUUUGGGUGCCCUGAGCUGCCUUUACAGUUCAGCUGCCUGGAAGCUGCCAUGCAGAAAAGACUACAUGAAGCAAUAGACGCAUGAGGAACCCCACUUGUUCCAGCUCCUGACUGAUUAUUCCCAACCCAGAUGCCUGACACAAGGUUCUUUGUUGAUGAGCUCACUGUGUUCAUCCAGCCUUCGCCUAAUAUCUGUGAGCAUCCUUAUGAGAUUUUGUUUGAACUCUUUGUCAGCUAAUAGUAGUCAGGUGACCCUGUUGUGGCAAAUGAGAGAGAUGUAAGGAUAAACCGCUAGACCAUUUCUGGGAAAGCUCCUGCUUUCCUAGUAAAAUGAACAGACAUGGCUGGCUCUGCCCUCACCCUCCAGCUUCCUGCCCCAGAUGUAGCGGUGAUGCCUGAGCUGCACAGACGUCUCCCGAGCAUGAAGUGGCACAAACACGACACCAUCUCCAUCAAAAGCCCCAGCAGCCACCAUGAUUGGACACCAGCAUAAGCAACCUGCCUAAGCCUACUGUGUCAGCUUCAGAAGAAAACUCAAUUCAUGGGCACCUGGAUCAUUUCCCUACCUGUUCCUAGUAGCCCCAGCCUUUUAAGGUAUAGGUACCUGUCCCCUGCUCCAACUGGACAGAUGGAGGUGGAGCCCUACUCAGCAGAGUCCUGAGAACUCCAUGCAGUCCGCUCUCAGUGGGGGCGAGGGCACCAGCCACAGAGGAGUCGCCCCCACUCUGCCUUCUGAAGGCCUUGCAGAUCUGCUGUCACAUUACUGUGGGGCAAAUCACUCUAAAACUACAAAUGCAUAAAUUGUGUUUCAUAUCUAGAGAUAGAUACAGAAUAGAGAUAGAUAAACAUCAAUUUUCUCCUUAAGAGCAGUUAGAAUUUGGACUAUCCUAAUCAGGAAUUCACACUCCAGAGUUAGAGAACUAGCAUAUUAAAAUUAUGAUGGAAAUAUACAUCAGAACGUUUGCUAAGGAAUAGGAAAUGGAUGUCUUCAAGAUACGUGCCUAGUUAUAGAGUCUGUGGACCACAGGAUGAUUUGAAUGAACAUAAUUCAGAUAACCCAGCAGCCAAAGGCUGUUGGCAGUGCUUGAGAAUCCCAACACUUCCAUAGGACUUGGUGGAAUGACCUGACAACCAGGGGUGAAGAACAUGUGUCUUCCAAAGAGUGAAUCUGUCACACAAGGUGUCCAGGGGACACUGUGAGGCACUGCCCACAGCCCUCUUCAGAACUCAGGACUUUUUCCCAAGUUUUGGAGUGUUGGCAGCAGAGCCCUCCACUGUCAGCCUUCUUUUAGAACUGCCUCAGUGGAAGCGCCAUCUUGCCCACCGUCACAUCCCCUUCAACAGGGCAGUCCUCACUUAGUAACUGGUCAGUGUAGGUGUACAAAUUCCCAGCCCUCUUGUCUCAACUUGGGACACUUCUGGAGGACCGUCCCAGCUCCAGAGGAACCAUGUGACUGCCUCCUAGCCCAACUUAUCUCUCUGUGCAAUCCUCCUUCCAUUGGUCCCAAGGUCACUCCAUAAUGAACACCUGCAUAAAAUCUCCAUGUCAGACUGUUUCCCAGGAACCCAACCUGCUCGGUUGUGUCAGUAGUGGUAUAUUGGCACCGGACCCCCCUCCACCCCACGUGCUCACAGUUAUGACCCCUAGUAAGAAAGAGCGACAGAUGGGUUCUGGUAAAGGUAGCAGAGCAAUUGUUAAAACUUUCACCUGUGAUGACCUGGAAUGGGACAGUACCCAAUAUCAGUAACUAUAAGAACAGUAGAAUUGGGUGGCAAUUGCUAAAUGCUGUGGACUCUGACAAAAGAUGAAAGUCUGGGAGUGAUUAAUCAGCAAUUGAAUACUGAGGGUGAAAUUCAGAGGGUUUCCUUGGUAACAUAAAAGAGACACUCAUGUCCUAGACCAAGAAGGAUAGCAAAUAUAUCUAUUGCGAAUAUCUUUUUUCUGACUCUAUGGCUUGCCUUUGUAUUUUCUCAAUGGUAUCUUUUGAAUUGAUUCAUGAUUUCCACGUCCUACCUAAGAAAUCUUUGCCUAACCUACGUUUGUAAAGAUUUUAUCCUACACUUUCUUAUAAAAAUUUUAUAGUUAUGGGGCCGGCCCCAUGGCUAAGUGGUUAAGUUUUCAUGCUCCACUUCAGUGGCGCAGGAUUUUGCCAGUUCAGAUCCUGGGCGCAGGCAUGGCACUGCUCAUCAGGCCAUGUUGAGACGGUGUCCCACAUGCCACAACUAGAAGGACCCACAACUAAAAUAUACAACUAUGUACUGGGGCGAUUUGGGGAGAAAAAGCAAAAAAAAAAAAAAAUUAUAGUUUUAAUGUUUGUGUUGAGGUCUAUAAUUCAUUUUCAUUUAAUUUUUGUGGAUGGUGUAAAAUAAGGACCAAAGUUACAUUUUUUCUAUAUGGACAUCCAGUUGUUCUAACACUAUUUUUCAAAAGACUGUCUUUUUCACCUUUGAAUUACCUGGCUAGUUUAUCAAAAAUUAAUUGACCAUACACCUGUAGAUCCCUUUCUGAGCUUGUUAUUAUGUUCCAUUGAUUCAUUUGUCCAUCCUAUGCUAGGACUACAGUGAGGAUUACUUUCUGGAAAUUAGAUAGUGUUAAUUGUCCAACUUGCUUCUUCUCUUUCAAAGUUAUGUUGGCUAUUCUAGAUCUUUUGCAUUUCUCUAUGUGCUUCUUUAAAUCAGAUGAUAAAUUUCUGAAAACAACUACUGGGAAUUUGAUUAGUAUUGCACUGAAUCGAUAUAAAAAAUUAACAAGUGACAUCUUAGUAUUUAGUCAUUCCAGUCAAUGAGCACAGUACCUCUCCAUUCAUUUAGGUCUCCUUUGAUUUUUCUAAGCAAUGUUUGGUAGGUUUUUUUUUGUUUUUUUUUUUAAGGAUUGGCACCUGGGCUAACAACUGUUGCCAAUCUUUUUUUUUUCCUGCUUUAUCUCCCCAAAUCCCCCCUGUACACAGUUGUGUAUCUUAGUUGCAGGUCCUUCUAGUUGUGAGAUGUUGUUUUGUAGUUUUUAGCGUGCAAAUCUUACACACAUUUUGUUAAAUUUAUCCUUGUUCACAUUUUCUCAUUCUAUUAUUGUAAAAUAGUUGCUAAUAUAUUGACCUUGUAUCCUGCCACCUUGCUAAAUCAUUUAUUAUUUCUAGUAGAUUCUUUUUUGUAGAUUCUUUUUUUCCCUCUAUGUGAUCAUUUCAUCUGAAAAUAAAGUCUUAACGUCUUUCUUUCCCACCUGCAUGCCUCUUUUCUUUUUCUUGCCUUAUUUCGCACUGCCUAGGGCCUCCAGCAUAAAGCUGAUUUAAGGACCGAAAAUGGACGUCCUUACUUUCUUCUCAAUCUUAGGGGGAACGAAUUCAAUCUUUUCCUAGAAAGUAUGAUGUUAGCUCCAGGUGUUUUGUAAAAGCCUUUUAUCGGGUUGAGGACAUUCUCUUUUAUUAUUAGUUUGCUGAGGUUUAUUAUUAAAAAUGGACUUAAAUGUUACUACAUGCUUUUUUGCAUUUAUUAAAAAAUAACUAUAUGGUUUGUCUCCUUUAUUCCUGUGUCUUAGUGACUUACAUUGGUUGACCUUUUAAAAUUAAAUCAACCUUGGAUUCCUGGGACAAACCCCACAUGAUUAUACUAUAGUCUCUUUUUUACAUAUGGUUGAAUUUAAUUUGCUAAUAUUUUGUUAAUAAAUUUUAUGUUCAUAAGAGAUAUUGCUCUGUAGUCUUCUUCUCUGCCUUCUUUGCAAUGUCUUUGUUUAGUUUUGGUAUCAGGGU
Molecule: long non-coding RNA, 4167 nt
Organism: Equus caballus (horse)
Lineage: Eukaryota; Metazoa; Chordata; Mammalia; Perissodactyla; Equidae
Source: Ensembl